Molecule: long non-coding RNA, 1896 nt
Organism: Papaver somniferum (opium poppy)
Lineage: Eukaryota; Viridiplantae; Streptophyta; Magnoliopsida; Ranunculales; Papaveraceae
Exons: 3
Source: RefSeq, a predicted model, not a curated record
AAGCAAGUGGGUGUCUUAGUAAUACCCUUGGUCUUAUCUACUCAAAUCGACCGAAGAGAAUCAGAUUUCUCUUCUUCUUUCUUCUUUCUCUCUUAUCUUCUUCUUCAGUUUUUCGAUCGAGGGAUGAUUUGAGAAAACAAAUUAGUGAUUUGGGGAUCGAAUAAAGUGGGGAAGUAUAUGUAGUAACUGUUGGUGGUGGUGUUGAUUAGGUUAGAUGUUCAGAAUCGAUGGAUAGGUUAAUUAGAUAAUUCAAUUUAGGGUUCUGUGAGUUGAAGAUGGACUGAUUUAAUUUGAUAAAAAGAGAUUAAGGUAUGGGUUUGAUUUUGAAGAACAACAAUGAUUCGGCAGAUCUGGAAAUUAGGGUUUGCGAGAUAUGAAUUCAAUUGAAGAUUAAGAUGAAAUUAAGGAUCUAAGGGAGUGACUAGAGUUGGGUAUGAGUUGAAUUAUAAGUUGAAGUUGAAAACCAGUUUGUAUUUGAUAGUUAGGUUUUCAUAGAAUGAACCAAAUAAGGAUUGGAAGAUGAAUUGAGGCUUUAGAAGACAGAUUGGAGGUGGGUUUGUCACGAAUUAAGAUUUAAGGUUGAAGAAUAAUUUGGAAUAAGUAAUUAGGGUUUUUCUGAGAACCAGUGUUGUUGUUAAAGAUUGUUGGAUUGAUAAUGAUUUUGGGAUGAAUUGGUGAGUGAAGUCAAAGAGAAUAAGAAAUCAGUUCAAUUGCUUGAGCAGAUUGAGGUAAUUAUUCAUUCAAGAUAACUUUGUAAAUAUGUUCUUUUUGAUUAUAGUGUGUAUGACUUUAAUGGAUGAGAUUGAAAUAGUUAUUUGAGUCUGUAAUGGAAUUGCAGAUGUAGAUUAGGUUAUAUGAUGAAUUACGAUUGAGGAAUAUAUGUUUGAACUGUAGAAGUUGGUGUGGAUGCAGAUUGUGUGGUGUUGAGUUAAUUUGAAGAAUUAGUGGUGUUGGUGCUGGUUUGUCUGUGAUGUUCAAGCUGCAGGGGACAUUAGUGAAUUGUGGAGGUGCAGAGUUAUUGAGCUGUGUGUGUGUAUGGAACUGGAUUUAGAGAUAGUUAUGAAACCGUGGUUGAAUCAGUUGUGUGCGUAUGAUGUUACGUGUUGUUUCCUGUGUUGUUGUUGGAGGGUGAAUGAGAUGAGUGAUAUUGAUGUUGUGGCAGAUGGAAUGGAAUUUUGUUGGUGGUGUUGAAUUGGGGGAAUGGGUUGUAGUGGCAGUGUUAUUAUGAACUGUUGAUGGAACUGAAAUAGAAGAUGUGGUUGUUAUGGUGGUGGUGUUUUACAGUGACAGAGGAUUCUAGGAGACACAAGUAUGAGUUGUGUCAUGAUGUGCACAAGGUCUUGGAGGUGCAAGAGAAUGGAUGUGAAGUGAGUUGUUGGGUGUUGCUGUUGGGAGUGUUGUUGAGCUGUAGAGUUUAGUCCUGGUAGUGAUGUUUGAUGGAACUGAUAAUGUUGAGCUGAGUUAAGAUGUUUCAGUUGCUGGUUGUAGUACUUGUGAGGCUAUAGUGGUCUGAAGUUGUAGGCAGGAAAGGUGUAACUGGGAUGGUAGUUGUAGGAGUAUUGUUAGUGAUUGCUGUGAAAAGCUUAAAGCUGCAUUUGCAGGAUGAACCAGUGGAUCGUGGAUCUCGAGGUAGGAGAGGCUUGCUAUCAAAAUAGUUUCAGAGACAAACUAGAGUUGUGCAACGAAAGCUUCGAGGAGUUGACUCCGUUAAUUAGUUAAAUAUUUGCUAUAUUUAUUAUGUUGUAUAUUUAAUUUGAAAACCAAAUGACUAUUGUAUUUGUAUCAUUUGAGAGGAGUUCUUGUAUAUAUAUAUCUGAGCGGGGCUAAUUUUGGGUUAAGUUUUGUAGCAGAUUUCUUAAUUGAAUGUUUACGUAAAGGAUUUAUAUUUUUAGCGCC